CAGUCGCCGCGGUAAUACGUAGGGUGCAAGCGUUAAUCGGAAUUACUGGGCGUAAAGCGCGCGUAGGUGGUUUGGUAAGAUGGAUGUGAAAUCCCCGGGCUCAACCUGGGAACUGCAUCCAUAACUGCCUGACUAGAGUACGGUAGAGGGUGGUGGAAUUUCCUGUGUAGCGGUGAAAUGCGUAGAUAUAGGAAGGAACACCAGUGGCGAAGGCGACCACCUGGACUGAUACUGACACUGAGGUGCGAAAGCGUGGGGAGCAAACAGGAUUAGAUACCCCGGUAGUCCCUGUCUCUUAUAC
Molecule: ribosomal RNA, 301 nt
Filed under: uncultured bacterium
Lineage: Bacteria
Description: partial 16S ribosomal RNA
Rfam family: Bacterial small subunit ribosomal RNA
Source: RNAcentral